This 552-nucleotide ribosomal RNA is filed under the name uncultured bacterium. RNAcentral describes it as "bacterial SSU rRNA". It matches the Rfam family "Bacterial small subunit ribosomal RNA", at positions 361 to 909 of the family's 1533-position model. The record is from RNAcentral.
AUCUUCGGCAAUGGGCGCAAGCCUGACCGAGCGACGCCGCGUGCGGGAUGAAGGCCCUUGGGUUGUAAACCGCUGUCAGAGGGGAUGAAAUCUCCGGAGGUUCUCCUCCGGAGUUGACAGAGCCUCAGAGGAAGCACGGGCUAAGUAUGUGCCAGCAGCCGCGGUAAUACAUACUGUGCGAACGUUAUUCGGAAUCACUGGGCUUAAAGGGUGCGUAGGCGGUGGUUCAAGUCAGAUGUGAAAUGCCUGAGCUCAACUGAGGCAUUGCGUUUGAAACUGGAUCGCUUGAGUAUCCCAGGGGUGUGCGGAACUGCCAGUGGAGCGGUGAAAUGUGUUGAUAUUGGCAGGAACACCGGAGGCGAAAGCGGCACACUGGGGGAUAACUGACGCUGAGGCACGAAAGCCAGGGUAGCGUACGGGAUUAGAUACCCCGGUAGUCCUGGCUGUAAACGAUGAGCACUGGGCGGGAGGAAGUUCGCUUCUUCCUGCCGUAGCGAAAGCGUUAAGUGCUCCGCCUGGGGAGUAUGGUCGCAAGGCUGAAACUCAAAGGAA